RNAcentral lists this long non-coding RNA (3474 nucleotides) under Phaseolus vulgaris (common bean). RNAcentral describes it as "long non-coding RNA (PVUL_LNC004747)". Lineage: Eukaryota; Viridiplantae; Streptophyta; Magnoliopsida; Fabales; Fabaceae. The record is from RNAcentral.
UAAAAUCAGUAGAGGACUGUCCUCAAGAGCAAUCCCCUUCUGCACCAAACACCACUUCUCAAGGUUCAACUCAACAGAUGUCUGACUAACUUCUAUUGCAGCUCUUUGUCUUGAAUAGACCCUUGGGCUUUAGUUACAGACUGGGCCCUAACACCCACCUUUAAUUCUUCACUGCUUCUAGUGGUUUCUGAGCUCAAUCCAUCCAGCAUGACAUCCAUGUGGCAUCAAGAUCUUUUUUUGGCAUAUUUUAGGACUGUGGGAAAGGGGUAGUUAAUUUUGCAUAGUUAGAAUAUUGUUAGGUAAAGGGAGUUAGUGAUAUAAAUAAAUAGGAAGAUUGGAGGGAAAGGAAUUGAUUCAUAUUUGUUAUCAUUUGUAAAUUGAGUACUACCCCUUUGGAAAAGGAGAGUAAUAGUUGUGAAGUGGAAACCUUUGAAAGAGUGUUCUCUCUCCUGUGUUCUGUUCUGUUGAAAUCAAUCUAUCUUUUCUUUUCUCUAUUUUUACAGUUCCAGGUUGUGAACAGUCUCAUUGAUGAACUAGGUUCUGAAUAUGGUGAUUGAUAACUGUUGCCAUGCAGUUGCAGUUCCAGCAGAUCGAGCUUUAUGAUAUACACUAGGCCUUGCAUUAUAAGGUUCUGCACGUGAUGGUUUAUCCUGAAUUCUCUAAAGAAAAUACUUUUUUUUUUGUAUUUAUACACAGUGUAUUUUAAUCUUCCCUUGUAUGAUUGGAAACAUUUUCUUUGUUAUUAAAUUUGAUAAAUUAAUCACCGAUUCUUAAUAUUAAGUAUAAUCUGAAGAUGGAACUUAGCUUCAUUUUAGAUAUUUGUAUUUUGGCAACCAAUAAUUAAUUUAUUCAUUUCAUACUUCACUCACUUGCAAGGUUUGUAUUACCAGAAACACUAUGGAAAGACAUUAUAUAACAUAUAGGACUAAUAUCAGAAUAUAACUGGAGCAUUACCAAUUUUCAUUCCUGACCCUUAUCAUGCAAACAUCUUCUGCAUGUCUUGAGCAGGACAAGACAUGCCUUAGUUUACACUAAUAAAUGUUAGAAUAUACAAAAGUGUCUUAUCAUAUUCUAUCACAUUUUAAAUUAUCUUUUUGGUUUAAUUUCUCUAUUCCUCAAUUUUAUGAAUAUAUAAAAAGUAUUCAGACAUUAUGAUAUAUUUCUAGGAAUAUUAAUUCAGUGAGUAUUUUCUUUCAUGUCUUUUCUUUCCUCCACAUAUGUGGAGCAGUCUGCAGUGUCAUCCUCUUUGUCCAACUGUUUACAAUUUCAUUCUUUUUAAAAAAAAUGAAAUUAAUUUGUUUUCUACAACUUUAUCCUGAAAAUAUUUUACUUUCUGACUUUUUGCUCAAUUGUUAUGUACCUUGAUUUCUGAAAGUUCAGAUCUCCUUUUUUGUCUCCAUUGUUGUACUCCCUUGCCUUUGUUCAAAUAUGUGCUAGCUUUGGACCUCAUGUUGACUUGAGUGUGUCUCCUUCAAUAAUAUGUUUUUUUUUUGUCUUUAUUUUUACCCUAACUAUGUCCCAUGGAGUUUUGUCAGUGUCCCUACUCUUUACUUCUUCGGCUGACCCUAGUUUUUUACUGACUUUGUUUGUCUUCCAAUAUUUUAUAUCUUAUUUAGUAUUUGGAUCUCUCUUUUGAAUGCUUUGUGUUGUUUGUUUGCUGGCUUAGUCAGCAUCCUUUCAUUACAGAAAGGGUAAUCUGGAAAGUAGAACUACAUUUCAAAUGAUCUUUCCAAAAUAGAUGUUUGAAAGGGGAGUGUUGCUUGAGCUUCUAUUGGGUGCAUGAGGAAGUGGCUGUCCUUAAUUUGUGAUUGCUAUGUCCUCGUUUGAUUGUUUGGUAGCUGCACUUGUCUUCACACACCCUUGUUAUUUGGAGGUUGCACUUGGUUUGCUAUGACCCUGUACUUGUUUGCCUGCUGCUGCACACUUAAUUCACCUCAUCCCUCUUAUUGUUUGACACACAUGUUUAGUUUGUUGUGUCCCUCUAGUUGUUAGGUGGUUGUUCAGAAUUUUUGUUUAGGUUGUUCUUUCCCUGACAUUUUUAUGUUUAGGACUUGUUUGUUUUCCAUUAAAAGAGGAGAAUUUUUAUAAUGAGCUUGAAAAUGUCUUUAGACAGAUGAUCCUCCAGGAUUUUUUUCUUUCUUUAUAUACAAUAACUCAUUACAUACCACUUCAUCUUAUCAUGAUCUGUUCCUAUGAUUAGCUCAGAUUAAGUUUGAUAUUAACAAGGAUUACAUGUUUUAUGAAUACAUCAACACAUUGUGGUACAUCUCAAUUAAUAGCAACUAGCAAGAAUUCAACAACCAUAGAGUACUGUCAUCUAAUUAUAGAUCACCGCACAAUAAACAAUUGUUAACUUCAAUUGAGGAAAAACAUAUUGUUCAGAUAGGAUCAGAGUUGAUCAAAACCAUAAGGAAAUUUUAUCUUUCUGUCUCUCUCUCUUCCUGGUAUAUAUGCAGGCCCACAAAAAACUAUGGGGAUAAGAGGAUAGAGUAGGGACAAGAGAACAGAGCUCCCUGUGCAAGAGCCUCAUCAUUCAAAAAUAUAUGGACACAGCAACAACACAGUGAAAAAUCACUCUCCUAGAUGACCCUUAAGAUAAGGAGAUGUUUUUGUUUCUUUCCUUAGAAUUCAUUUGGUCCUUAUGUUUUCAUAGUUUUUAUUAUCGUACAUCAGCAUUGCAAUUUUAAGAGUUCAAUGAAUAUCAGUUUGUUCCUUGAUACAUAUUAUUUUUGGAAGUUGAAGUGAAUGUGCUCUUAACUUGUCACAAUCCCAACAGAAAGUAGCAAAGAGACAUCAUUUCUUCUAAAUACAUGGAGGUCACAUGAUUUUUGAGUUAGCCCAAACUCGUUGUACGGCCAAUUAUUUUUCCAACUUGUAUAUUUAAUGUGAACUCCCUUCAUCCAUUAGAAUUCAAAGUUUGCUUUACUCAUCUUCUUUUGAAGGACUGAACCACAAAUGAACAUAAUGAUAAAUUAUCAAAUACUCAUUUUUCUCUUUUCUUUUUCACAUUCCAAUCACUAUUUUCGGAUAAGAUUAAUCCUGUUUCACUAUUUGCUAAUUUUUCAUUGGAAGUAGUUCUUCAAAUAGAUCACUUGAAGAGAUUAAUGUUUAUUUUCUGAAUAUAAAUAAUUAAGGAUAGCAAAGAAGUAAUUGUGCUUUGCAAAUCAUACCAUAGAUAAUGUUGUGAACAAAAUUGCAAUGGGCCAGUUGAUGAGUGGGAUUCCAUCAGAACAUCGAAAGCAAUAGCUGGCAAUGCCAUGUGAAUAAGGUGGGGACACUUACACAUGCAUACCAAAUCCCAUCUCUUUCUUCUUCAUUAUUCUUCUUCACUUCUUACUUCACUUUUUUACAAAAUUCUUACAUAUAACAUUAUAUACACAAGUCACAAUUCCAUUCAAUGUUGUUUUCUUUUAAUUAUUACCCUGCAACCUUCUACUUGCUUCUCUGUUCAAUCUUGAAUAGAAGAGCAUGCAU